UCCAUGCCGUAAACGAUGAAUACUAGGUGUUGGAGGGUUUCCGCCCUUCAGUGCCGCAGCUAACGCAUUAAGUAUUCCGCCUGGGGAGUACGACCGCAAGGUUGAAACUCAAAGGAAUUGACGGGGGCCCGCACAAGUGGUGGAGCAUGUGGUUUAAUUCGAUGCUACGCGAAGAACCUUACCAGCUCUUGACAUCUUCUGCCAACCCAAGAGAUUGGGCGUUCCCUUCGGGGACAGAAUGACAGGUGGUGCAUGGUUGUCGUCAGCUCGUGUCGUGAGAUGUUGGGUUAAGUCCCGCAACGAGCGCAACCCUUAUUAUUAGUUGCCAGCAUUUAGUUGGGCACUCUAGUGAGACUGCCGGUGAUAAACCGGAGGAAGGUGGGGACGACGUCAAAUCAUCAUGCCCCUUAUGAGCUGGGCUACACACGUGCUACAAUGGAUGGUACAACGAGUCGCGAAACCGCGAGGUCAAGCUAAUCUCUUAAAGCCAUUCUCAGUUCGGAUUGCAGGCUGCAACUCGCCUGCAUGAAGUUGGAAUCACUAGUAAUCGUGGAUCAGCAUGCCACGGUGAAUACGUUCCCGGGCCUUGUACACACCGCCCGUCACACCAUGAGAGUUUGUAACACCCAAA
This 631-nucleotide ribosomal RNA is filed under the name Apilactobacillus kunkeei. RNAcentral's name for it is "bacterial SSU rRNA". It matches the Rfam family "Bacterial small subunit ribosomal RNA", at positions 794 to 1425 of the family's 1533-position model. Lineage: Bacteria; Bacillati; Bacillota; Bacilli; Lactobacillales; Lactobacillaceae. The record is from RNAcentral.